Molecule: ribosomal RNA, 1520 nt
Filed under: Comamonadaceae bacterium CG12_big_fil_rev_8_21_14_0_65_59_15
Lineage: Bacteria; Pseudomonadati; Pseudomonadota; Betaproteobacteria; Burkholderiales; Comamonadaceae
Also listed under: 1 other name
Description: bacterial SSU rRNA
Rfam family: Bacterial small subunit ribosomal RNA
Source: RNAcentral
GCUGAGAGUUUGAUCCUGGCUCAGAACGAACGCUGGCGGCGCGCCUAACACAUGCAAGUCGAGCGAUGAAGACUCCUUCGGGAGUGUAUGAAGCGGCGGACGGGUGAGUAAAGCGUAGGCAACCUGCCCUAAAGAGGGGGACAACCUGCCGAAAGGUGGGCUAAUACCGCGUAAGCUGUUAGAGUAAUGUCUAUCAGUAAAGGCUUCGGCCGCUUUAGGAUGGGCCUACGUCCGAUUAGAUAGUUGGUGGGGUAAAGGCCUACCAAGUCUGCGAUCGGUAACUGGUCUGAGAGGAUGAUCAGUCACACUGGAACUGAGACACGGUCCAGACUCCUACGGGAGGCAGCAGUGAGGAAUUUUGCGCAAUGGGGGAAACCCUGACGCAGCGACGCCGCGUGGAGGAUGACGUCUUUCGGGAUGUAAACUCCUGUCAGUGGGAACGAUAAUGACGGUACCCACAGAGGAAGCACCGGCUAACUCCGUGCCAGCAGCCGCGGUAAGACGGAGGGUGCAAGCGUUGUUCGGAAUUACUGGGCGUAAAGCGUACGUAGGCGGUUGAUUAAGUCAAAUGUUAAAGCCCGGAGCUCAACUCCGAGGAUGCACUUGAUACUGGUCGACUAGAGGGCGAUAGAGGAAAGCGGAAUUCCGAGUGUAGCGGUGAAAUGCGUAGAUAUUCGGAGGAACAUCGGUAGCGAAAGCGGCUUUCUGGGUCGCUCCUGACGCUGAGGUACGAAAGCGUGGGUAGCAAACGGGAUUAGAUACCCCGGUAGUCCACGCCGUAAACGAUGGAUACUAGGUGUAGCGGGUAUCGACCCCUGCUGUGCCGUAGCUAACGCGUUAAGUAUCCCGCCUGGGGAGUACGCACGCAAGUGUGAAACUCAAAGGAAUUGACGGGGGCCCGCACAAGCGGUGGAGGAUGUGGUUUAAUUCGACGCAACGCGAAAAACCUUACCAGGACUUGACAUGUAGAGAAUCUCUGUGAAAGCAGGGAGUGCCGCAAGGAGCUCUAACACAGGUGGUGCAUGGCUGUCGUCAGCUCGUGUCGUGAGAUGUUGGGUUAAGUCCCGCAACGAGCGCAACCCUCGAGUUUAGUUGCCAUCAGGUAAUGCUGAGCACUCUAGACUGACUGCCGGUAACAAACCGGAGGAAGGUGAGGACGACGUCAAGUCAUCAUGCCCCUUACGUCCUGGGCUACACACGUCCUACAAUGGGUAAAUAUAAAGGGCAGCGAAGCCGCGAGGUGAAGCGAAUCUCAUAAAAUUACCCUCAGUUCGGAUUGCAGGCUGAAACUCGCCUGCAUGAAGUAGGAAUCGCUAGUAAACGCAGAUCAGCAUGCUGCGUUGAAUACGUUCCCGGGCCUUGUACACACCGCCCGUCACACCACGAAAGAUUGUUCAACCCGAAGUCGGUGGGCUAACCCUCUGGGAGGCAGCUGCCUAAGGUGGGGCAAUUGAUUGGGGUGAAGUCGUAACAAGGUAGCCGUACUGGAAGGUGCGGCUGGAUCACCUCCUUUCUAGGGA